RNAcentral lists this ribosomal RNA (520 nucleotides) under uncultured Glomus. Its description in RNAcentral is "SSU rRNA". It matches the Rfam family "Eukaryotic small subunit ribosomal RNA", at positions 569 to 1087 of the family's 1831-position model. Lineage: Eukaryota; Fungi; Glomeromycota; Glomeromycetes; Glomerales; Glomeraceae. The record is from RNAcentral.
AGCAGCCGCGGUAAUUCCAGCUCCAAUAGCGUAUAUUAAAGUUGUUGCAGUUAAAAAGCUCGUAGUUGAAUUUCGAGAUCAAAUUGUUGGUCGUGCCUUGGUACGUACUGACAUUAUUGGUUUCUCCCUUCUGAAGAACCAUGAUGUCAUUAAUUUGGUGUCAUGGGGAAUCAGGACUGUUACUUUGAAAAAAUUAGAGUGUUUAAAGCAGGCUAACGCUUGAAUACAUUAGCAUGGAAUAAUGAAAUAGGACGUUCGAUCUUAUUUUGUUGGUUUCUAAGAUUGACGUAAUGAUUAAUAGGGAUAGUUGGGGGCAUUAGUAUUCAAUUGUCAGAGGUGAAAUUCUUGGAUUUAUUGAAGACUAACUACUGCGAAAGCAUUUGCCAAGGAUGUUUUCAUUAAUCAAGAACGAAAGUUAGGGGAUCGAAGACGAUCAGAUACCGUCGUAGUCUUAACCAUAAACUAUGCCGACUAGGGAUCGGAUGAUGUUAAUUUUUUAAUGACUUCAUUUCGGCGUACC